AUGCUUGCUUAGGUAGCACAUAUACUAAAAUUGAAAUGAUACAAAGAUUAGCAUGGCUCCUACCCAAGAAUGACAUGCAAAUCCAUGAAGUGUCCUGUGUUUAA
RNAcentral lists this small nuclear RNA (104 nucleotides) under Jaculus jaculus (lesser Egyptian jerboa). The record is from RNAcentral. Lineage: Eukaryota; Metazoa; Chordata; Mammalia; Rodentia; Dipodidae.